Molecule: transfer RNA, 72 nt
Filed under: Candidatus Omnitrophota bacterium
Lineage: Bacteria; Pseudomonadati; Candidatus Omnitrophota
Description: tRNA-Arg
Rfam family: tRNA
About the family: Transfer RNA (tRNA) molecules are approximately 80 nucleotides in length. Their secondary structure includes four short double-helical elements and three loops (D, anti-codon, and T loops). Further hydrogen bonds mediate the characteristic L-shaped molecular structure. tRNAs have two regions of fundamental functional importance: the anti-codon, which is responsible for specific mRNA codon recognition, and the 3' end, to which the tRNAs corresponding amino acid is attached (by aminoacyl-tRNA synthetases). tRNAs cope with the degeneracy of the genetic code in two manners: having more than one tRNA (with a specific anti-codon) for a particular amino acid; and 'wobble' base-pairing, i.e. permitting non-standard base-pairing at the 3rd anti-codon position.
Source: RNAcentral
GCGCCUGUAGCGCAACGGAUAGCGCACUAGCCUCCGAAGCUAGUGGUGCAGGUUCAAUUCCUGCCAGGCGCA